This 209-nucleotide small RNA is filed under the name Arabidopsis thaliana (thale cress). Its description in RNAcentral is "ATSL104210". The record is from RNAcentral. Lineage: Eukaryota; Viridiplantae; Streptophyta; Magnoliopsida; Brassicales; Brassicaceae.
UUUUUAUAAAGUUGUUUGACCAAGUGUUAUUAGCUCAAUUAAUAUUCGAUGCAAAGUUUAGAUAUCGUUGGUUCGAGUGACGUUUGGAACGAAACUAAUAUUAUAUGUUAUGAUUUCAGGUCUGGUAGGAUUACGGGCUUUGUCCCAGAACCUUCAAAUAUUCAAAAAAAAAUAAAAAAUUGUUUGGUCGGAAAAAGAUAUAUGUUUUU